Molecule: ribosomal RNA, 702 nt
Filed under: uncultured bacterium
Lineage: Bacteria
Description: bacterial SSU rRNA
Rfam family: Bacterial small subunit ribosomal RNA
Source: RNAcentral
AACGAACGCUGGCGGCAGGCCUAACACAUGCAAGUCGAGCGAGACCUUCGGGUCUAGCGGCGGACGGGUUAGUAACGCGUGGGAACGUGCCCUUCUCUGCGGAAUAGCCACUGGAAACGGUGAGUAAUACCGCAUACGCCCUUCGGGGGAAAGAUUUAUCGGAGAAGGAUCGGCCCGCGUUAGAUUAGAUAGUUGGUGGGGUAAUGGCCUACCAAGUCUACGAUCUAUAGCUGGUUUUAGAGGAUGAUCAGCAACACUGGGACUGAGACACGGCCCAGACUCCUACGGGAGGCAGCAGUGGGGAAUCUUAGACAAUGGGCGCAAGCCUGAUCUAGCCAUGCCGCGUGUGUGAUGAAGGUCUUAGGAUCGUAAAGCACUUUCGCCAGGGAUGAUAAUGACAGUACCUGGUAAAGAAACCCCGGCUAACUCCGUGCCAGCAGCCGCGGUAAUACGGAGGGGGUUAGCGUUGUUCGGAAUUACUGGGCGUAAAGCGUACGUAGGCGGAUCAGAAAGUUGGGGGUGAAAUCCCGGGGCUCAACCCCGGAACUGCCUCCAAAACUCCUGGUCUUGAGUUCGAGAGAGGUGAGUGGAAUUCCAAGUGUAGAGGUGAAAUUCGUAGAUAUUUGGAGGAACACCAGUGGCGAAGGCGGCUCACUGGCUCGAUACUGACGCUGAGGUACGAAAGUGUGGGGAGCAAACAGG